UGAGGAAUAUUGGUCAAUGGACGCAAGUCUGAACCAGCCAAGUAGCGUGCAGGAUGACGGCCCUAUGGGUUGUAAACUGCUUUUAUAUGGGGAUAAAGUGGGGAACGUGUUCCCUUUUGCAGGUACCAUAUGAAUAAGGACCGGCUAAUUCCGUGCCAGCAGCCGCGGUAAUACGGAAGGUUCGGGCGUUAUCCGGAUUUAUUGGGUUUAAAGGGAGCGUAGGCCGUUUGGUAAGCGUGUUGUGAAAUGUAGGAGCUCAACUUCUAGAUUGCAGCGUGAACUGGCAGACUUGAGUGCGCACAACGUAGGCGGAAUUCAUGGUGUAGCGGUGAAAUGCUUAGAUGUCAUGAAGAUCUCCGAUUGCGAAGGCAGCGUACGGGAGCGCAACUGACGCUGAAGCUCGAAGGUGCGGGUAUCGAACAGG
RNAcentral lists this ribosomal RNA (424 nucleotides) under Verrucomicrobiota bacterium. RNAcentral describes it as "Verrucomicrobia bacterium partial 16S ribosomal RNA". It matches the Rfam family "Bacterial small subunit ribosomal RNA", at positions 355 to 776 of the family's 1533-position model. Lineage: Bacteria; Pseudomonadati; Verrucomicrobiota. The record is from RNAcentral.